This 99-nucleotide signal recognition particle RNA is filed under the name Spirochaetes bacterium GWB1_36_13. RNAcentral describes it as "signal recognition particle sRNA small type". It matches the Rfam family "Bacterial small signal recognition particle RNA". From Rfam's summary of the family: The signal recognition particle (SRP) is a universally conserved ribonucleoprotein involved in the co-translational targeting of proteins to membranes. Archaeal SRP consists of a 7S RNA and homologues of the eukaryotic SRP19 and SRP54 proteins. The record is from RNAcentral. Lineage: Bacteria; Pseudomonadati; Spirochaetota. RNAcentral also lists the same sequence under 1 other name.
GGGCAGGUCCCAUAUGACUUUUAGUUUUCCAAACCCUGUCAGGUCCGGAAGGAAGCAGCAGUAGGAAGACGGAGUGCAUUGUGGGGAAGCUUGCCCCGU